Molecule: ribosomal RNA, 463 nt
Filed under: uncultured bacterium
Lineage: Bacteria
Description: partial 16S ribosomal RNA
Rfam family: Bacterial small subunit ribosomal RNA
Source: RNAcentral
GAACGCUGGCGGCGUGCUUAACACAUGCAAGUCGAACGAUGAAGCUCAGCUUGCUGGGUGGAUUAGUGGCGAACGGGUGAGUAACACGUGAGUAACCUGCCCUUAACUCUGGGAUAAGCCUGGGAAACUAGGUCUAAUACCGGAUAGGAGCGCCUACCGCAUGGUGGGUGUUGGAAAAAUUUAUCGGUUUUGGAUGGACUCGCGGCCUAUCAGCUUGUUGGUGAGGUAAUGGCUCACCAAGGCGACGACGGGUAGCCGGCCUGAGAGGGUGACCGGCCACACUGGGACUGAGACACGGCCCAGACUCCUACGGGAGGCAGCAGUGGGGAAUAUUGCACAAUGGGCGAAAGCCUGAUGCAGCGACGCCGCGUGAGGGAUGACGGCCUUCGGGUUGUAAACCUCUUUCAGUAGGGAAGAAGCGAAAGUGACGGUACCUGCAGAAGAAGCACCGGCUAACUACGUG